RNAcentral lists this ribosomal RNA (460 nucleotides) under uncultured bacterium. RNAcentral describes it as "SSU rRNA". It matches the Rfam family "Bacterial small subunit ribosomal RNA", at positions 26 to 518 of the family's 1533-position model. The record is from RNAcentral.
AGAAUCAACGCUGGCGGCGUGCCUAACACAUGCAAGUCGAACGAGAAAGUGGAGCAAUCCAUGAGUAAAGUGGCGCACGGGUGAGUAACACGUGACUAACCUACCCUUGAGUGGGGGAUAACCUAGGGAAACCUGGGCUAAUACCGCAUAAUACCUUCGGGUCAAAGGAGCAAUUCGCUUAAGGAGGGGGUCGCGGCAGAUUAGUUAGUUGGCGGGGUAAUGGCCCACCAAGACGAUGAUCUGUAUCCGGCCUGAGAGGGCGCACGGACACACUGGAACUGAAACACGGUCCAGACUCCUACGGGAGGCAGCAGUGGGGAAUUUUGCGCAAUGGGGGAAACCCUGACGCAGCAACGCCGCGUGGAGGAUGAAAUCCCUUGGGAUGUAAACUCCUUUCGAUCGGGAAGAUAAUGACGGUACCGGAAGAAGAAGCCCCGGCUAACUUCGCGCCAGCAGCCGC